UUUGCGGAUCUCUUUUUCUGUUUCUUAUCUUCCUCCUAAACUCCCUUCUGAAAAUCUCAGAGAUCCAAUCUCAACUCUUAAAAAUCAAAGACUAAUCCAAACCCCAUCUCAAUAUCAAACCCAUGUAUCAGAUCUAAAAGAAAAACCCUCUUUUAUAACCCUGGAUUUAACCAAAAACAUUAUCUCAUUUCAGCUAACUUGUUUUCUGUAUGAGAGGGAGAUUGAUAGCCUUCAUAUCCAUACAAUUCUCAUCACCAAAUCACGCCUGAUUUCGAAAUCUAAUCCUAACCGCAUCUUUGAAUCAAAACCCAUCUCAUAAUCAGAAUUUUAUAUGCCCUAAUUUUGUAACCAUAGAUUUAGUUAAUUUUGUCCUGAAAUCAAAGCAACCCUAUAGAGCUGAGAGUACAAGAAGAACAUUGCACCAGGUGUUGGUGGUGUGGCUUGUGCUACAGAUUUCAAUGGAGAUUUGGGUCAUAUGCUGGAGUUAAGAAUCAGUCGAGAGAAGUUGUUGAAGACAUGGAUUCCGUUAGGUAUUUGGGGUGAAUCAGUAGCUCGAGAUUGCGUAGUGGUUGUAACUCGAGAUUGCAGAUUGAACUAGAGAAUUUUAUGGUGCUGCCGGUGGUUAAAUGAGGACCUGAUGUGAAUACAUAUGAAUGUUAAAUGGUUUCUGAAUUAUGGGUUUACUGUGAAUUGAAUUUGCAGGUGUUUGGGUGAGUUUAAAAGCUAUAGAAAUUAAAUGCUACAACAAGAUGAGAAUGUCACAUUGGUUGUUCGAUAAAAGGCCCGAAUCGUCAUCUUCUUGUCACCCAAUAAUCUGUCCGCAAGGGUUGUUGCUGCAAUGGUUUGUGUGGCUGCUUUUUAUAUUCUGGUGUCUGCACUGGAUUGAGCUGAGUCUUAGAAGUUGGUAAGAAGGAAGAGGGUUAUUCGUAGUCGAUACAGAGAAGGACAACUGAGCUGAAAUGGGUUUUUGAAUCUGAAAAGGGCGGUUUGGUUUGAGCUUGUUCUGUGAAGUCAAAUCAACCAAGGAGAGUUGAUGUGUGAUGCUAUCCGUAGUGGAGCUGUGAUUCAAACUUGUGGCAGUCCGGUGGAGUUUACUAAAACUCAGUUGAGAAGAGAGUAAUUUAGACAAAGACAAUGAGGUUUAUGUCAUUGCUAUCAUGGGUGUGUAAAUGGCAGCAAAGUUACUGGAAUUUGCGGGAGUUUUGGUUGAGUUUUGAUAUUGUGUUGCUUCCAUGAGAUGGUGGAUUGUUUGCCAUGUCGCAGGUGGUCUGUUUUACGGAGUUUGGAGCUGGUUUUGAAGGCAAGGAGGGAAAAUAAGUUAACCUUGGCUGGAAUCUGGAGUUGCUAGGAGGUCCGUAAGCUGAGCACUAACCAAGUGUUGCCGUAACUGAAGUAGUAUGCUUUAGUCUGUGCAUCUAUUAGCCAUGGUCCUGUGAGCAUUGAAUGAUGUGUGUUUUGUGUAAAGUAGGACGUGAUUUAGAAGGAUACAGUAUAUGGAGAAAAAUCUUCCAGGAAGGGAAAUAUAAAGAAGCUGAACGGUCAACUAUUUGUGGAUAAGUUUAUCCAGAAAACACAAUAGUUUUUUGGACUACAUUUCUAGCGGAUUCGAGCAGUUACAUGUCCUUAUCUUUUUCUUGUGAACUUAAAUCUUCCAGACUCUUUAUAUGGAAGGUCUUGUUAGAUUGUGGAGUUGUUCAAGCAGAUGCAUUAUCAGUGGAUCCUAUGGCUUCGCUAGAGAAGUAUUCACAGACUGUAGUCUUGCCUCGGGCUUCUAUUUUGGCAACAAGUAGAGUGGAUUACCUAAAUCAAUGCUGAUUCAGUGAGUCCUUAUUUAUUUUGUUUCAAAAUACUAGCAAUGUUGAAUUUGACAUCUGCUCCUUGUUGCAUAACAACAUGAAUCUUUCUAUAUUGCAUACCACCUUCUUGAAUAUGAAUUUACAUUCCUAUGUUGCUUGAAUAUGAGUUCUUUGGUGUUUUUUGGAAAUAUGUGUCGGAUGUUGUUCCUAUUGCAUGUCAGGCAGCUGCAGAUGUUGGAAUUCGCUCUGCUUGUAUCACCAAUUUCAGGUAUGCACAGUACUCGAUCAACAGCAGAAUGAAGCUUAAAUUCUUUAGGCGCAACUAAGGCUUAAAGCUCAACUCAGUAUAUUUGAUCUUUGUGUCCUGUAGAAUUAUGCAUGAAGUAUUUACCUUAGAAUCAUUAUGCCAUCCACGCGUAUAAGUAUAAAGAUCACAUUUUUCAUGAACAUUGUUCUCAUGCUUUAUGUAAUGCCUUACUUUCUUGUGUUAUCAGUUCGACGAGGAAGCGGUCUCCCCUUUGUCAAGAAAUACAGUAACAGUUAUUCAUCUCGGAGAGGUCAACAGGAUCAGGAAGCUGCCACAGGACAUGAAGAUUGUUGCUACACAUACCGACAAUCCCGGUGUAAGAAACUAAGCAUUUCUAAGUUAAUUUAGCCUUCUUCUUCGGGUAUAUUGGGUUGUUCUCUUUUCAUUUCACCGACAAUGUAGCUAGUGCAAGUUUUUGUAGUACUUUUUUUAAUAGGAAUAUUUUA
Molecule: long non-coding RNA, 2549 nt
Organism: Papaver somniferum (opium poppy)
Lineage: Eukaryota; Viridiplantae; Streptophyta; Magnoliopsida; Ranunculales; Papaveraceae
Exons: 6
Source: RefSeq, a predicted model, not a curated record